RNAcentral lists this ribosomal RNA (445 nucleotides) under Escherichia coli. RNAcentral describes it as "bacterial SSU rRNA". It matches the Rfam family "Bacterial small subunit ribosomal RNA", at positions 1 to 442 of the family's 1533-position model. Lineage: Bacteria; Pseudomonadati; Pseudomonadota; Gammaproteobacteria; Enterobacterales; Enterobacteriaceae. The record is from RNAcentral.
AAAUUGAAGAGUUUGAUCAUGGCUCAGAUUGAACGCUGGCGGCAGGCCUAACACAUGCAAGUCGAACGGUAACAGGAAACAGCUUGCUGUUUCGCUGACGAGUGGCGGACGGGUGAGUAAUGUCUGGGAAACUGCCUGAUGGAGGGGGAUAACUACUGGAAACGGUAGCUAAUACCGCAUAACGUCGCAAGACCAAAGAGGGGGACCUUCGGGCCUCUUGCCAUCGGAUGUGCCCAGAUGGGAUUAGCUAGUAGGUGAGGUAACGGCUCACCUAGGCGACGAUCCCUAGCUGGUCUGAGAGGAUGACCAGCCACACUGGAACUGAGACACGGUCCAGACUCCUACGGGAGGCAGCAGUGGGGAAUAUUGCACAAUGGGCGCAAGCCUGAUGCAGCCAUGCCGCGUGUAUGAAGAAGGCCUUCGGGUUGUAAAGUACUUUCAGCGG